AUACAUGCAGUCGAGCGAACAGACGAGGAGCUUGCUCCUCUGACGUUAGCGGCGGACGGGUGAGUAACACGUGGAUAACCUACCUAUAAGACUGGGAUAACUUCGGGAAACCGGAGCUAAUACCGGAUAAUAUAUUGAACCGCAUGGUUCAAUAGUGAAAGACGGUUUUGCUGUCACUUAUAGAUGGAUCCGCGCCGCAUUAGCUAGUUGGUAAGGUAACGGCUUACCAAGGCAACGAUGCGUAGCCGACCUGAGAGGGUGAUCGGCCACACUGGAACUGAGACACGGUCCAGACUCCUACGGGAGGCAGCAGUAGGGAAUCUUCCGCAAUGGGCGAAAGCCUGACGGAGCAACGCCGCGUGAGUGAUGAAGGUCUUCGGAUCGUAAAACUCUGUUAUUAGGGAAGAACAAAUGUGUAAGUAACUAUGCACGUCUUGACGGUACCUAAUCAGAAAGCCACGGCUAACUACGUGCCAGCAGCCGCGGUAAUACGUAGGUGGCAAGCGUUAUCCGGAAUUAUUGGGCGUAAAGCGCGCGUAGGCGGUUUUUUAAGUCUGAUGUGAAAGCCCACGGCUCAACCGUGGAGGGUCAUUGGAAACUGGAAAACUUGAGUGCAGAAGAGGAAAGUGGAAUUCCAUGUG
This 641-nucleotide ribosomal RNA is filed under the name Staphylococcus epidermidis. RNAcentral's name for it is "bacterial SSU rRNA". It matches the Rfam family "Bacterial small subunit ribosomal RNA", at positions 51 to 675 of the family's 1533-position model. The record is from RNAcentral. Lineage: Bacteria; Bacillati; Bacillota; Bacilli; Caryophanales; Staphylococcaceae.